GAGAGAGGCCCGUUUUGCAACGGAACCUGCUAACUUCCGCCCCCUUGGUUAAACCCCGAGGCUCACUCG
This 69-nucleotide transfer RNA is filed under the name Bodianus reticulatus (Asian sheepshead wrasse). RNAcentral's name for it is "tRNA-Ser". The record is from RNAcentral. Lineage: Eukaryota; Metazoa; Chordata; Actinopteri; Labriformes; Labridae.